GACAGAGGGUGCGAGCGUUGUUCGGAAUUACUGGGCGUAAAGGGCGCGUAGGCGGUCUGUUAAGUUCGGUGUGAAAGCCCUCGGCUCAACCGGGGAAGUGCGCCGGAUACUGGCAGACUUGAGUACCGGAGAGGAGGGUGGAAUUCCUGGUGUAGCGGUGAAAUGCGUAGAUAUCAGGAGGAACACCGGUGGCGAAGGCGGGUCUCUGGGCCGAUACUGACGCUGAGGAGCGAAAGCGUGGGGAGCGAACAGG
Molecule: ribosomal RNA, 253 nt
Filed under: uncultured bacterium
Lineage: Bacteria
Description: partial 16S ribosomal RNA
Rfam family: Bacterial small subunit ribosomal RNA
Source: RNAcentral